Molecule: long non-coding RNA, 971 nt
Filed under: Ananas comosus (pineapple)
Lineage: Eukaryota; Viridiplantae; Streptophyta; Magnoliopsida; Poales; Bromeliaceae
Description: long non-coding RNA (ACOM_LNC038681)
Source: RNAcentral
CCUUCUGAAAGUAUUUUUCACAUCUUGUAUAUUACGAAUACUUCUGUCAGCCUCGCGUAUCCGUGUCGGACACUUGCGUGUCCGUGUCGGACACUCGCGUGUCCGUAUCGGACAUGUGUCCGAUGUGGACACUUUUUGGACACGCGUUUAAUACCAAUCCAUAGCGCAAACAAUUUAAAAAAAUAUACAUAUUUUUAUUUUAUUUAUUUUAUGCAUUAUAAAUGUAAGAUUAUAAAUAUUUUAGCUUUUUAAUAAAUGCAUAUAAAUUUUUUUGAUAAUAUAAAUAAAUUAUAUAUGGUGCAGAAUUUUUUUAAAAAUAUAUGAAUUAUUAAUAAAAAAUUUACUAACUUACAUUCGUAUGAGAAAUAUAACAAUAUUUUAUCAAAAUUAAUAUUUUUUAUAUAAUAAAUAUAUUAUAUUAUAUAUAUUAGCGGUGUCCAUGUUGUAUCCGUAUUUAAUUUUUUAAAAAUUGUCGAGUCACCAUGUCCAAAUUAUGUCGUAUCUCAUGUCAGUGUCCAUGACGCCUGGUCCACAUCUGAUUGGGCUCUCACUGAUGCUUUCUUUUCUAACGAGUUUGCUUUCUGCCACAGUGAAAAGAACACUUUCAAAUGUAAGUAUCAUUUGAGAGGUUUUUGGUUUUAGAUGUGGGUGCAUCCUUAUAUAUCAGAGAGUGAUGUAAAGAUGUACAUAUUCACGUGAGAGAGAGAAGAAAAUAUCCUUAAGAGUCUAUAGUUUUAUACACAUAUAUUAUUACUCAUAAAUUUUUGCCAUUUUUUCUCAAAAUUUUUACUAUCCAAUCAUUGUGAUUGCUCGUCUUUUUCGUAACAUCUGCCUUUUCAGUUUUCGUCUUAUUAAUUUCUUUCCCGUAAUGUAUGUCUUUUCGGCUUCCCGUCUCAUUAAUUCAUUCUCUAUAACGUGGCUGCUUCGACUUUCCCGCUUUAUUAGUUUCUAUUUUCUAAAAGGCGUUGCCC